CCUACGGGUGGCAGCAGUGGGGGAUAUUGCACAAUGGGGGAAACCCUGAUGCAGCGACGCCGCGUGUGGGAAGACGGUCCUCUGGUUUGUAAACCACUGUCCCCAGGGGCGAAGAUGACGGUACCUGGGGAGGAAGCUCCGGCUAACAACGUGCCAGCAGCCGCGGUAAUAGGUAGGGAGGGAGCGUAGUCCGGAAUUCCGGGGUGAAAAGGGAGCGUAGGCGGGGUUGCAAGUUGGGUGUCAAAACUACCGGCUCAACUGGUCGUCGCACUAAAAACUGGAGCUAUUGAGUGAAGUAGAGGCAGGCGGAAUUCCUAGUGUAGCGGUGAAAUGCGUAGAGAUUAGGAGGAACACCA
This 356-nucleotide ribosomal RNA is filed under the name uncultured bacterium. Its description in RNAcentral is "partial 16S ribosomal RNA". It matches the Rfam family "Bacterial small subunit ribosomal RNA", at positions 338 to 711 of the family's 1533-position model. The record is from RNAcentral.